AAUCCUCAAGCUUGGAUGGUUUUCCGUCUCAAGCUUGGUAUUGGGCUUUGCUGUGCCUUUCGUUGGAACAGCUGGCCUUAAAAGCAUUAGCUGAUCCUCAUGUGUGGCAUUGGUUCUGCUCAGCGUGAUAAUGAUAUUGACCGCUGGGGACAUCUUUCUAGAUGGCCGAUUCUCUCAUUUGGGUUGCUUCUAAUUUGGCUUUGACAGGUUCUGAUCAGAUCUGUUUUGCCCUUCUG
Molecule: unclassified non-coding RNA, 236 nt
Filed under: uncultured Clavulinaceae
Lineage: Eukaryota; Fungi; Basidiomycota; Agaricomycetes; Cantharellales; Hydnaceae
Also listed under: 1 other name
Description: sequence contains ITS2
Source: RNAcentral